AGGUCCUUCAAGCUUUAAGGAGACUGAAAGGGAACUCGCUAGGAGAAGAUGACAUUUGAGACAAAGCGUAUCCAGAAUGGUGACUACAUGCAGACAUGAAUAAAGCACCUUCAAUGGAUAAAGAUUCAAUGGUCGAGGUGAAGAAUAGAUUCAAGAAGAUGAGCGUGGUUCCAGAUGAAAAUUGUUUUGCUAAUGCCAUCCUCAAUCUCAAGGAACAUCAGAAACCAGCCAUUGUCAUCAGGAAUACCAGUUUCUGUGAUGUCCGUUUUUUCUACCUGAUCAAGCUUAGGCUCGCACGGUCAUGCAUUCAGCUCAAGUAUGCACGUCAAUUGCUCAUGAAAAUCGCCAGGUAUUCACGUAUGCUUAUGGAAAAGGAUGAUUGUGCACCCUGGACCGGUGCAAGUACCUGAAAGAGAAUGCUGUUGGUUGUAUGUAUACCAUUGCAAUGAGAUGCCUCCCUAUUUUGGCUUAUAUCGAAAAGGUCAGGCAACACACGCUGGCUCAGGACGUUGAUGCCACUCCCGACUUUGUCUUAGCUAAGGAAGACUGCACAAUCCCCCACAUAUCUGCCUUUAAGGUUGAAAAGGCUACCGACUUUGUUCAUCAAGACACUUUGCGUUGGCUUGAAGAGUUGGAAGAGAAACAUGACUUUAGGGUCCACGAUUCUGCUGUAAAACGAUUAAAAUAAUUUAUGGUUAGGUUUAUUAAAUGAGUUAAAUGUCCGGAGCAGAAUAUUAGAAACAAAUGAUUUUCUACAAUGAAUGUAUUCAAUUUGUGUGAAGGCUUUGAUCUGCAAUGUUUAAGGUUUUAUAAGGGCUGCUACGA
RNA transcript from Raphanus sativus (radish), 825 nucleotides. RefSeq lists it as uncharacterized. The record is from RefSeq and is a predicted model, not a curated record. The transcript is spliced from 3 exons. NCBI's taxonomy places the organism in Eukaryota, Viridiplantae, Streptophyta, Magnoliopsida, Brassicales, Brassicaceae.